RNAcentral lists this ribosomal RNA (246 nucleotides) under uncultured bacterium. RNAcentral describes it as "partial 16S ribosomal RNA". It matches the Rfam family "Bacterial small subunit ribosomal RNA", at positions 796 to 1041 of the family's 1533-position model. The record is from RNAcentral.
CACGCCGUAAACGAUGCUGACUAGCUAUAGGGAGUAUCGACCCUUCUUGUAGUGAAGCUAACGCGUUAAGUCAGCCGCCUGGGGAGUACGGUCGCAAGACUAAAACUCAAAGGAAUAGACGGGGGCUCGCACAAGCGGUGGAACAUGAGGUUUAAUUCGACGAUAAGCGAAAAACCUUACCAGGGUUCACCCUAUUAGAACCCCGCGGAAACGUGGGGGUGCCUUCGGGAGCUAAUAGGUCGGUGA